UUGGCUUCUCAUCUGAACAGUUGC
RNAcentral lists this non-coding RNA (24 nucleotides) under Arabidopsis thaliana (thale cress). The record is from RNAcentral. Lineage: Eukaryota; Viridiplantae; Streptophyta; Magnoliopsida; Brassicales; Brassicaceae.